Molecule: long non-coding RNA, 2199 nt
Organism: Neofelis nebulosa (Clouded leopard)
Lineage: Eukaryota; Metazoa; Chordata; Mammalia; Carnivora; Felidae
Exons: 3
Source: RefSeq, a predicted model, not a curated record
UUAAAAAAAUGACAUAAAAUGUGCCUAAUUUCUCUUCUCCUUUCCAAUCCAAGCUGAUCAUUACCGCUUCUGACUUUGGUGAACUCAUUCUUGUGAAUCUUACAUUUAAUUGAGGUCCUAAAACACCACGGUGGGAGUUAAUUCCAUUUCUAACACAAAACAUAAAAUCUAAAUGGAUUCCAGAGUGUGAAACAGACUUUUCUGUUCCAAGCUCAUGUAUGGACUUACCACAUCAAGUAAAUCACUUACAGUAGGCGGGAGCAUCAUUUCAAAUCAUCGUUAAUAACGACAAAAGGUACCAUCUCGAGGCUCUAUGCACCAGACACCAUAGUAGACGCUUAAAAUGUCAUCCUUACCACAACAACAGGAAGUAAGAAUUACUCCCUUUUGUAGGGUCACCAUAGAAUCUACUCAGGACGCUUGAGAUGUUGAAUGGAGACGCUAUGCAUAAGUGUGCCAGGACACAAAGCAUAAACCAAGAUUGGCCCUGGCAAAGCAGGGCAUAUGGCACCCUCCUCGUGUUUCAGCUAAAGAAACCCUGACCCGGAGCACCAAGUGCCUUACCAGGUCCCACAGCUUACGAGGUGACAGGACGCAAAGGCAGGUCUGUGUGACUCCAAAAUCCAUGCUCUUUCUAGUGUCUUUGUCUUAAGUACUGGGCACAGUGGGAGGAGGUGGGAGGGCGGAGGGUAGAAGGGGAGGGCGUGAGGGUGUGACUGAUCUGGUUACAUCCACCUGCUUAACCAGGUCAGCCUCACUUCCACAGGCUGCCACCGUCACUGCUUAUUCUGCAACUCCCCAAACUCCAGACCACACAGAGCCCAUGAUGGGACAUAGUCAACCUGUGCUCUCUAAUGAUGGACUUUUCAUGUAAGCUUUCUGGGGGGAAAGAAAGAGAAAAUGAGAAAAGAGCAAACUGAAAGACGCUUGGGGAUAACAAGGGAAUCUAAAGAGAGUCACCAGAGAAACCAGACUAAUGAACGCAGGAGGCUUCCCAGAGGACCCUGGGUUUUGCUGUCCAGGAACCACAAAUAUUCACUUCACUCGACUCCAUGGCCCAGCACCUCCAUUCCGUGAGAGACAUGAUUAUUUCAGCAAUGAAACCUACCAAAUGUUAAAAAUGACUCACAAGGCAGCGAGCGGCAUGGAGAUUGGACUGUGAGAGCUUCGGGAUGGAAAGGGUGACUUUUGGUGGACUCCCCGAUGGCUCCUGGAUGGGUCCAGUCCCCAGAAAGACCAAGCCAUGAUGAGAAGCUCGGAAUUUUCAGCCCUCUCCCACCACCACCGCCCCCCCCCCCCCAUUUUCCAGAAAGGGGAGAGGGCCUGGAUAUGCAGUUAAUAAUUGAUCGUGCCUACGCCCCAAGGUAUGGAGUUAGGAGAGCUUCUAGGUGGGUGAACACAUCCACGUCACUUACUAGGAGGGUGACACAACCCAAUCCACAGGAACAGAAGUUUCUGCGCUCAGGAUUCUCCCAGACCUCACCCUAAGUGCCUCUUCAUCUGGCUGUUCAUCUGUGUGCUUUAGCACAUCCAUUAUUAUAUAGUAAACAGGUAAACAUAAGUAAGUGUUUUCUGGAGUGCUGUGAGCUGUUCUAGGAAACAAUCAAAUCCAAGGCGGAGGACAUCAUGGGAACCUCUGAUGUGUAGCCAAGUCAGACAGAAGGUGUGGGUCACCCGGAGACCUACUACGUGCAGUGCCGUCUGAAGUAGGGGCAGUCUCAGGCAACUGAGCCCUCAGCCCGUGAGAUAGGGUGCUACCUGGAGGUAGAUGGUGUCGGAGAAUUGCUUGGUGCAGAAACCUGGCCGCACCUGGUGUCGGAAGUACUGUGAGUGUGACAGUCGCGUGAGAGAGGAGGAGACACGCUGGAGGACAAGUGCAGGCUUCCUGCUCGGCCACAGCUCUGGAAUCUCACAGUGCCAGGCUGCCGUAGGACAGGGUUUCCUCUGGUGACCGAGUUGUCCGCUCGCAACAGGGUGCUGCCUACAAGACCCUUUGAGUCCCGUGGUCCUGGUGCUGCACUGACAUGGGGCGCAGGCCUUUGGGACCAACUAAUUGCCUAAAUGUGGAAGAGUCAGAAGUGAAUUCCAGGAGAAAAAACACACAUAUAUCCAUUAGCAUCUUACGAUAUUCUCCCGCCUUACAUUACAACAUAAGGUCCGAGCUAUGCUUUUGCAAAUAAACUAUUUACACGUUAUGAA